UACAGAGGGUGCAAGCGUUGCUCGGAAUCAUUGGGCGUAAAGGGCAAGUAGGUGGUCUCAUUUGUCUUGUGUGAAAUCCUUGGGCUUAACUCAAGAAGUGCGCAAGAAACGGUGAGACUCGAGUUCCGGAGAGGUGGGUGGAAUUCCCGGUGUAGCGGUGAAAUGCGUAGAGAUCGGGAGGAACACCAGAGGCGAAGGCGGCCCACUGGACGGACACUGACACUCAACUGCGAAAGCGUGGGGAGCAAACAGG
RNAcentral lists this ribosomal RNA (253 nucleotides) under uncultured bacterium. RNAcentral describes it as "partial 16S ribosomal RNA". It matches the Rfam family "Bacterial small subunit ribosomal RNA", at positions 524 to 776 of the family's 1533-position model. The record is from RNAcentral. RNAcentral also lists the same sequence under 1 other name.